CCAAGAAACUUCCACAAUGGGCGAAAGCCUGAUGGAGCGACGUCGCGUGAUGGACGAAGUGCUUCGGCACGUAAACAUCUUUUAUGUGGGAUGAAAUUAUUGACAGUACCACAUGAAUAAGGGGCUCCUAACUCUGUGCCAGCAGGAGCGAUAAUACAGAGGCCCCAAGCGUUAUCCGGAAUCACUGGGCGUAAAGGGUGUCGAGGCGGUUGUAUUAGUCGUUCGUAAAAUCUACGAGCUUAACUUGUAGGCGGCGAACGAAACGGUACGACUUGAGGUUUGGAGAGGUGCGUGGAACUCACGGUGUAGGGGUGAAAUCCGUUGAUAUCGUGGGGAACACCAAAGGCGAAGGCAGCGCACUGGCCAAAAUCUGACGCUCACACACGAAAGCUAGGGUAGCGAAGAGGAUUAGAUACCCCCGUAGUCCCUGAGCGGGCUGGCAAGGCGCAU
Molecule: ribosomal RNA, 450 nt
Filed under: uncultured bacterium
Lineage: Bacteria
Description: bacterial SSU rRNA
Rfam family: Bacterial small subunit ribosomal RNA
Source: RNAcentral